AUGUUUGCUCAAAAUCUCUAAUAUGAAGGUAAGGGUUUUCGUCUUCCUUUCCCGAAAAAGAUAGGAUUUGAAUCAUGGAAAUCAACCUAGAACUUAACUUAUACUGGGAUGUUUGGAUAGGCUGUGAUGAUUCCCAUGGUAAAAGGUCAGUUGCUGAAGGGAUUGCAGACUCAUGGAUCGAUUUUAAGAAUAAAGAAAAUAAAUAAAGAAUAUAAAAGAUAAGAAAAGAUAAAAGUAUAGAUACAAGCUAAUAGUAAGACACAGGUUAUCUCAGCAACCGUCUUUCUCCCCGGCAAUGGCGCAAGAAAUGCUUGUUGAUAUUUGGGAACACAAUAAGGAAUUGAUCCGCAAGCGCACGGAUAUCGGUGAGCACUUCACCCGGGAGGUUAUCCAGAGUAUCGUAUUUAUUUUUUACCACUAGGAGAAAGAGUGCAUCUGACUAACCGGUCUAUUACUACUAACCUUUAGGCACAA
This 474-nucleotide long non-coding RNA is filed under the name Sorghum bicolor (sorghum). Its description in RNAcentral is "long non-coding RNA (SBIC_LNC011914)". Lineage: Eukaryota; Viridiplantae; Streptophyta; Magnoliopsida; Poales; Poaceae. The record is from RNAcentral.